This 73-nucleotide transfer RNA is filed under the name Cynoglossus nanhaiensis. Its description in RNAcentral is "tRNA-Leu". It matches the Rfam family "tRNA". Rfam says of the family: Transfer RNA (tRNA) molecules are approximately 80 nucleotides in length. Their secondary structure includes four short double-helical elements and three loops (D, anti-codon, and T loops). Lineage: Eukaryota; Metazoa; Chordata; Actinopteri; Pleuronectiformes; Cynoglossidae. The record is from RNAcentral.
GUUAAGAUAGCAAAGCAGGGACUUGCAAAAGGCCUAAGCCCUUUCUACAGAGGUUCAAGUCCUCUUCUUAACU